Molecule: ribosomal RNA, 500 nt
Filed under: uncultured bacterium
Lineage: Bacteria
Description: partial 16S ribosomal RNA
Rfam family: Bacterial small subunit ribosomal RNA
Source: RNAcentral
AUUGAACGCUGGCGGCAUGCCUUACACAUGCAAGUCGAACGGCAGCACGGGAGCAACCCUGGUGGCGAGUGGCGAACGGGUGAGUAAUGUAUCGGAACGUGCCCAGACGUGGGGGAUAACGUAGCGAAAGCUACGCUAAUACCGCAUACGAACUGAGGGUGAAAGCGGGGGAUCGCAAGACCUCGCGCGAUUGGAGCGGCCGAUGGCAGAUUAGGUAGUUGGGGGGGUAAAGGCCUACCAAGCCGACGAUCUGGAGCUGGUCUGAGAGGACGACCAGCCACACUGGGACUGAGACACGGCCCAGACUCCUACGGGAGGCAGCAGUGGGGAAUUUUGGACAAUGGGCGCAAGCCUGAUCCAGCCAUUCCGCGUGCAGGAUGAAGGCCCUCGGGUUGUAAACUGCUUUUGUACGGAACGAAAAGGCCCUCUCUAAUACAGGGGGCUGAUGACGGUACCGUAAGAAUAAGCACCGGCUAACUACGUGCCAGCCGCCGCAGUAA